UGAGGAAUAUUGCACAAUGGGGGCAACCCUGAUGCAGCAACGCCGCGUGGAGGAUGACGGUCCUUGGAUUGUAAACUCCUUUUUUCGGGGAAGAGAACGGACGGUACCCGAAGAAUAAGUCACGGCUAACUACGUGCCAGCAGCCGCGGUAAUACGUAGGUGGCGAGCGUUAUCCGGAAUUACUGGGCGUAAAGCGCACGCAGGCGGCUCAUUAAGUCUGACGUGAAAGCUCCUGGCUUAACUGGGAGAG
This 250-nucleotide ribosomal RNA is filed under the name uncultured bacterium. Its description in RNAcentral is "partial 16S ribosomal RNA". It matches the Rfam family "Bacterial small subunit ribosomal RNA", at positions 355 to 621 of the family's 1533-position model. The record is from RNAcentral.